UGAUAAAGGCAAACCGGCCGAAAGACCGGGACGCAAAGCCAGGAGACUACCGCGGGUGCCCGCCAUGUCCGUCCGGCUGCCAC
This 83-nucleotide non-coding RNA is filed under the name chicken gut metagenome. RNAcentral describes it as "Cyclic di-GMP-I riboswitch". It matches the Rfam family "c-di-GMP-I riboswitch aptamer". From Rfam's summary of the family: GEMM was predicted in a large-scale screen for bacterial structured RNA regulatory elements. Genes associated with GEMM are involved in a diverse array of functions, including chemotaxis regulation, signal transduction, secretion and chitin. The record is from RNAcentral.